ACGAGACAACAGCAAGGAUUCACAGUCUGAGAACGACUAUCUACAGGAGUGCCUUGAAGUGGUGCAGCAAGAGUUCAUGAUCUUCAACCGAGAGAAGUUGAAAAAGCGUCAGGAGGAGGGUCAGUCAGAGGCCGGGAAUUAUGACGCUAGCGGCGACGGGGACGGAGAGGCAGAAAGCGGAGCCGCCGAUGAGGACGUGAACGAGCCAGAACCAGGACCGGAAGCUGAUCCUGAGCAGGCGCCCGAGUCUGCCUCCAAACUGAGCAUGUGCGGCUCAGUGUGUUCCUCCCCCGGCAGCUGCUAGCGCCACAUCGCCUCACAGUGACGAUGGCAGCUCUCUCUGGCGGCUGCGGUGUUUGUGCCAUGCCAAUAGAUACCUUCUCACCUCUCUCUCAUGUCGUAGCCUACAGCGGAGGAAACGGACAGCGUGGCAACUUGACGCACAGCAGCAGCUCCCAAAACGGUUC
Oreochromis aureus is the source of this 467-nucleotide long non-coding RNA. The record is from Ensembl. NCBI's taxonomy places the organism in Eukaryota, Metazoa, Chordata, Actinopteri, Cichliformes, Cichlidae.